AGAGUUUGAUCCUGGCUCAGAGCGAACGCUGGCGGCGUACUUAACACAUGCAAGUCGAACGGGGAUCACCGGGUUAGCAAUAAUUCAGUGGUCCUAGUGGCGCACGGGUGAGUAACACGUGGGUAACCUACCCUAGAGUUCGGGAUACCCCCUCGAAAGGGGGGCUAAUACCGGAUACGUUCCCUGGGUCGAGAGAUCAGGGGAGGAAAGGUGGCGCAAGCUGCCGCUCUUGGAGGGGCUCGCGGCCUAUCAGCUAGUUGGCGGGGUAAUGGCCCACCAAGGCUUUGACGGGUAGCUGGUCUGAGAGGACGACCAGCCACACGGGGACUGAGACACGGCCCCGACUCCUACGGGAGGCAGCAGUGGGGAAUUUUCCGCAAUGGGCGAAAGCCUGACGGAGUGACGCCGCGUGUGGGAUGAAGGCCUUCGGGUCGUAAACCACUGUCAGUGGGAAAGAAGGGCAUCGGCGCGAUAACCGCCGGUGUUUGACGGUACCUGCAGAGGAAGCCCCGGCCAACUCUGUGCCAGCAGCCGCGGUAAGACAGAGGGGGCAAGCGUUGCUCGGAAUUACUGGGCGUAAAGGGCGCGUAGGCGGGAUGGCAAGUCGGUCGUGAAAUCCUUCGGCCCAACCGAAGAACGUCGAUCGAUACUGCUGUCCUAGAGGAUUGCAGAGGAGACUGGAAUUCCCGGUGUAGCGGUGAAAUGUGUAGAGAUCGGGAGGAACACCGGUGGCGAAGGCGGGUCUCUGGGCAAUUCCUGACGCUGAGGCGCGAAAGCGUGGGGAGCAAACGGGAUUAGAUACCCCCGUAGUCC
This 813-nucleotide ribosomal RNA is filed under the name uncultured bacterium. Its description in RNAcentral is "bacterial SSU rRNA". It matches the Rfam family "Bacterial small subunit ribosomal RNA", at positions 8 to 796 of the family's 1533-position model. The record is from RNAcentral.